AAAACCUAGUUGUUAUUUUUUUGCUCUUUCAUUGUUUGAUCAAUAAAGUGAAAAACCCUAGCUUUUUUCGGAUCCGUGAAAUAUAGCAUCUAAAUAAUCAGGUAGGCCAAGUAACUCAUCGGGCUCAAAGGGUUUUGAUUUUGGGUCCGAUGAUAUUCUCUGGUCCUAUGAAGAUUUUUUCCCAUAACGAUCCCUCUAAUUGCUCCCAUCCGAUCCAGCAGGUCAUCUCUCCGGCCGGAGCCAACCAAACAGCCGCCUCUCUCUCUUUUCUCUUCUCUAAUCUCCACCAUCAUAUCCGCUCGCUAUUCUACAAAUACACUAAAAUUUGUAUGUAUUCUGGAAUUUUUAAUGCAAAUUUAGUUAGUUAGUUUUUUUUUCUUUUGUAUUUUCGCAUGUAUUUAUGUAUUUUGAAAGUUGUUU
RNAcentral lists this long non-coding RNA (420 nucleotides) under Nicotiana benthamiana. Its description in RNAcentral is "long non-coding RNA (NBEN_LNC037870)". Lineage: Eukaryota; Viridiplantae; Streptophyta; Magnoliopsida; Solanales; Solanaceae. The record is from RNAcentral.